Molecule: microRNA, 21 nt
Filed under: Gossypium raimondii (Peruvian cotton)
Lineage: Eukaryota; Viridiplantae; Streptophyta; Magnoliopsida; Malvales; Malvaceae
Description: gra-miR8666
Source: miRBase by way of RNAcentral
UUGGUGAUCAUAAGUACAUAA